GUUCGCUACUCUGUUAAAAAAUAACAAGCUUUUUAAAAGAUUGUUAUGAAUUGAUAGUAUAUAAGUAACGAAGCUAAAAAAGUAGAAAAAAAUGGAGGGUCUGUGUGCUCGUUUCUGAGAUAUAAGCCAUUGAAAAUUUGGCGGGAAAUAAUUCUCUCUAGAUUUUUCUUACAUUUAACAUUGGCAACUAUUUGUUUCAAAAACAAUGAAAAAAUAACAAG
RNAcentral lists this long non-coding RNA (221 nucleotides) under Mytilus galloprovincialis (Mediterranean mussel). Lineage: Eukaryota; Metazoa; Mollusca; Bivalvia; Mytilida; Mytilidae. The record is from RNAcentral.